GCCUCUUUAGCUAAGUGGUAGAGCGUUGGUCUCGUAAACCAAAGGUCGAGAGGUCAAUCCUCUCAGGAGGCA
RNAcentral lists this transfer RNA (72 nucleotides) under Daphnia pulicaria. Its description in RNAcentral is "tRNA-Thr". It matches the Rfam family "tRNA". From Rfam's summary of the family: Transfer RNA (tRNA) molecules are approximately 80 nucleotides in length. Their secondary structure includes four short double-helical elements and three loops (D, anti-codon, and T loops). Further hydrogen bonds mediate the characteristic L-shaped molecular structure. tRNAs have two regions of fundamental functional importance: the anti-codon, which is responsible for specific mRNA codon recognition, and the 3' end, to which the tRNAs corresponding amino acid is attached (by aminoacyl-tRNA synthetases). tRNAs cope with the degeneracy of the genetic code in two manners: having more than one tRNA (with a specific anti-codon) for a particular amino acid; and 'wobble' base-pairing, i.e. permitting non-standard base-pairing at the 3rd anti-codon position. The record is from RNAcentral. Lineage: Eukaryota; Metazoa; Arthropoda; Branchiopoda; Diplostraca; Daphniidae.